Molecule: long non-coding RNA, 442 nt
Filed under: Microcebus murinus (gray mouse lemur)
Lineage: Eukaryota; Metazoa; Chordata; Mammalia; Primates; Cheirogaleidae
Description: lncRNA (ENSMICG00000048767.1)
Source: RNAcentral
AUAUACAUUGAUGCUUUCCUAUUCAGUGCUUCUAAUGGUUUUUAACUUUUCCAUAGGAAAUUUGGAACAUGGGAAUUUUCCAUAGAGAAUUUUGAGACCUCCGUUCUGUAAUCAUAUCAUUCUAGAAUGUCAUCCCAAUUUUUUCUUAAGGUUAAGAGCCUAUACAUUAUAUGAAGAAUGCAUAUCAUCAAAUAUAUUCCCAAUAAAAAUUUUUGGAGGAAUGUUCUUCUUAUAUAUUACAGAUGCCCAAAGCACAGCUCUUCCAAUGAUUGUAGAAGAUAUUCCAAUUCUUUUACUAUUUAAAAUAUUAAAAGUGAAUGAAGAUGGGAAACAAAUAACACCGCCAGACAGAGCGUCUCUGCAGAAAAGACAGAUUCUAGAAGAAAGUAGAGGAAAGAAGCAAGAAGACGAGCAUACAGCAGACAAGGGCCGGAAGGAGGGG